This 3389-nucleotide long non-coding RNA is filed under the name Homo sapiens (human). RNAcentral describes it as "HSALNT0338826". The record is from RNAcentral. Lineage: Eukaryota; Metazoa; Chordata; Mammalia; Primates; Hominidae.
GAGAUGAGGACAGGCUGGGUCCAGGAAGGGCUGCAGGAAUAGGGGGCACCUGAGCCUGCAGAAAGCGGGGAGCCCAGCCGCCAGAGCAGGCACCCCCAGGCAGACCUCAGUGUGUCCUGCCCUGUGGGAGUGGCAAGGCCAGACCAAGCUGGAUGUGAACCAGUCCCAGAACACCGCCUAGAAUUUGGAUUGUAAUUUGUUAUCGAUGAUAUUGCUGCUUGGUCUCUCUCCUCUUCCUCCCCACCCCCACCCAAGAUGGAGUCUGGCUUUGUCCCCCAGGCUGGAGUGCGAUGGCAGGAUCUCGGCUCACUGCAACCUCCGCCUCCUGGGUUCAAACAAUUCUCCUGCCUCAGCCUCCCAAAUAGCGGGGAUUACUGGUGCGUGCCACCACACCCAGCUAAUUUUUGUAUUUUUGGUAGAGACGGGGUUUCAUCAUGUUGGCCAGGCUAGUCUCAAACUCCUGACGUCGUGAUCCGCCCACCUCAGCCUCCCGAAAUGCUUUGGGAUUACGGGUGUGAGCCGCCGCGCCGAGCAUGGCCAUCGUGGCUACAUCAGUCCCGGCUAAUAGAGAUUUUAGCACACUCAGAUUCUAUUGGCUAAUAAGAUUUAAUUAUAAUUCUGGGGUAUUUAACAAUGUCGUUAUACAGUCUUCAUUGUUGCAAAUGGAGAAUGAAAUCGGGUGCAUGUGACACUAAUAUGACCUGUUCAUGCUCUGUCACUUAAACGGAGUUAAGUAACAUAGCCCUGAGCAGGAAGACUCCUUCCCCACUUCUGUCCAGGAGCUCCUUACUCGAUUCUGGGGAACAGAAAGGCUUUCAGCGGCCAAGGGGAGUGACAACAGCCAGACAUGAGACACCUCCUAGAGCCCUUUGGUGUUACCCUUUCCGGUCCAUCAGCCACAGUGUCCACCCCAGGUAGCUGGGUCCUGAGUUCACCGUCUCAGGACAUUUUUCGACCUGGUUUGUCUGAAUUAUUAUUAUUAUUGAUCAUUGAGACAGGGUCUCAGUCCAUCGCCAAGACUGGAGUGCAGUGGUGUGAUCCUGGCUUACUCAGCCUCCCAGGCUCAGGUGAUCCUCCCAGCUCAGCCUCCUGCGUAGCUGGGACCACAGGCAGGCACCACCAUGCCUGGCUAAAUUUUUUGUAUUUUUUGUAGAGACCAGCUCUCGCUAUGUUGUCCAGGUUGGUCUCAAACUGCUGCCUCAGCCUCCCAAGGUGCUGGGAUUACAGGCAUGAGGGACCAAGCUCAGCAAUCUGAAUUAUUUAUGCAGAAUUUUUUUUUCUCUAGCUGGAAGAGCUGUUUAUAUGCACGUUUCUUUGGGGGCAACUCUUCUCCAUUGUCACAGAUUUUUUUUUUCCAAGCCAUUCCUGGGGGAUUCCUGGGAGCCAUGUGGGAGAGGCGUGAGGAAGUGAGACCUUCACCCCGAGACAGGUCCUGACACACCCUCUGGUGCCUCUACUCAAGUGAGGUGAGAGGGGAAACUGGUGUAUUUUUAGAUGAAGUUUCCUUGGGAAAUUGUUUCUAUUUUAUAUUUUAUCAGUAAUCCCCUGGCUAAUGUUUUAAACCAAUAUUUAUAACACUGCCUCAGAGCUUUGGAAUAAACAGAUUUCCAUAAAGAAAAGCUGCUUUAGAGUGCUACACUGUAAGAGGGGCCGGGCAAACAAGAAGGGACGGAGGAAAGACCACCAAGUGAGAGGCACAGGUGUCAGGACACACAGAGAGCCCGAAAACGAGGCAGAGUUUGGCUGCUGUAACUGACUGGGAAGCUUAAAAUAACAGACAAUCAUCUCUCACAUUUAUGGGGACUGGGAAGUCCAAGACCAAGUUGCCAUCUGGGGAGGGCCUGUUCCUCACAGCGCCUUCCAGCUCAGGCCUCGUUUAUAAGGGCACUCAAGCCUUCCACGACAACGGGUCCUCAUGACUUACUCACCUCGGAAAGCCCCACCCCCAAGACCAUCACAUUGUGGGUGAUGGCAGAGCAUAAGGUGCCUUCCCCACAUGCUCGGGUUGGCCCAGCGUCUCACGCUAGCAGCUACGUGGAAUAGUUAUUUUUUCUGGAGAACUCUGGGACCCCUCUGAUGUCUUGGAGCACCCACACAGGCCGUUCACUGUGCACGCUGUGAGGCUGUCGUCUUGGAGCACCCACACAGGCCGUUCACUGUGCACGUGGUGAGGCUGUCCUCUGGGGAGUUCUGCUGUUGUAUGGGUUCUGUCUGUGUCAAUGUCCCAGCGGGAACGCAGGGCACACUAGCGUCAUCCCCAGAGGGCUUGGUAAGGGGACUGUUUGCAGAGACAUAGGCAGAGGGCUGGAAAACUACCAAAAAAGUGCAGUGUUCUGGACCUAAUAAUAGCAGAGCUAUUCUCACCCUGGUCUGAAGGCAGGAGGGGAGGAGCAGUUAAUGGAUUCUGGAAGUCAGGUUGCACAGAGUCACCUUGAAAGAUGCCAUGACCUUCACCGAGGGCCAGACAGAGACUAAGAUGACCCCAUAGGAGAAUAAGACCUAGACCUCAUCCUCCUGCCUCCUGCCAGUCCCUGCCAGGGGUCGCCAAUGGCAAAACAGGACUGGAAGCCAGAGGCCAUGGAAGCCCAUGGAUGAAGUCCACAGGCCAGCCUCCCCGAGAGCAGCCUGGACGGUCCGCAGGAGACGUCUCCUGUCUUAGGCGUCCCACGCCGCGUGCUCCUGUUCAGCCCUGCCGAGGUGGAAGCUUGGAGUGGCUCACGGUGGAUGCAUUGACGCUGCAGACGCCAGCAAGUGCUACAAACCAGAGCUGGCCUUUAACUCAGACUGAUGGAGAAGGUGUUAAUAAUGCAGAUUAGACUUAAAAGUGUUGAAGCCAUUGCACUGUGAACAGCAAAAAAAUUGAAGAACUCUUCUGGCAUUUAAAAACAAUUACUCAGUUCAGCAGAGAAGUCACUGACAAACGAGAUCACACUGACUGCUUUGUCGUUUUGGUUUUGUCUUACUCAUUAAUGCAAAUAAGAACAUUCACUAGCAUCUGUGUCGGGCCUACCCUCCCUGGUCAAAUACAGCUACAGUCUCCCUGCAGAAACGAGUUUUCCAGAAAUGAGCCGAUGUUUUCUGCGAGAAUCAAUUGGUCAUAUACAAUUUACAAAAAUGAGUACUGUAUACUAUAUUUGUAAACUGUACACUGCAGAUGCUUUAUUUCACUGAAAUUUAUAAUACACUUAUCCAUGUAUAUGCAUGCAUGCAUUUUUGUUCCUGAGAUCCAGCUGUGAAAUGUUUACCAGCACAUAAAUUACCAGCACAUGCUCUUUUUUGUUAACCUACUAGGUAAAAUCUUCAUUUAUUACAUCAAAUUCUUGUAGUUUUUGUAUUGCAAUUAUGCAGAUAUUGAUUAUCGCAGUAUUACUGCAAUUAUACAGAUACCA